GACGAACGCUGGCGGCGUGAUUAACACAUGCAAGUCGAGCGGUAAGGCCCUUUCGGGGGUACACGAGCGGCGAACGGGUGAGUAACACGUGGGUGACCUGCCCUUAGCUCUGGGAUAAGCCUGGGAAACUGGGUCUAAUACCGGAUAUGACUCCAUGACGCAUGUUGUGGGGUGGAAAGCCUUGUGCGGCUAGGGAUGGGCCCGCGGCCUAUCAGCUUGUUGGUGGGGUGAGGGCCUACCAAGGCGACGACGGGUAGCCGGCCUGAGAGGGCGACCGGCCACACUGGGACUGAGACACGGCCCAGACUCC
RNAcentral lists this ribosomal RNA (310 nucleotides) under uncultured bacterium. RNAcentral's name for it is "bacterial SSU rRNA". It matches the Rfam family "Bacterial small subunit ribosomal RNA", at positions 28 to 339 of the family's 1533-position model. The record is from RNAcentral.